RNAcentral lists this ribosomal RNA (433 nucleotides) under uncultured bacterium. RNAcentral's name for it is "partial 16S ribosomal RNA". It matches the Rfam family "Bacterial small subunit ribosomal RNA", at positions 29 to 507 of the family's 1533-position model. The record is from RNAcentral.
AACGAACGCUGGCGGCAUGCCUAACACAUGCAAGUCGAACGAGACCUUCGGGUCUAGUUGCGCACGGGUGCGUAACGCGUGGGAACCUGCCCUUAGGUUCGGAAUAACUCCCCGAAAGGGGUGCUAAUACCGGAUAAUGUCUUCGGACCAAAGAUUUAUCGCCUUUGGAUGGGCCCGCGUUGGAUUAGCUAGUUGGUAGUGUAAAAGCCUACCAAGGCGACGAUCCAUAGCUGGUCUGAGAGGAUGAUCAGCCACACUGGGACUGAGACACGGCCCAGACUCCUACGGGAGGCAGCAGUGGGGAAUAUUGGACAAUGGGCGAAAGCCUGAUCCAGCAAUGCCGCGUGAGUGAUGAAGGCCUUAGGGUUGUAAAGCUCUUUUACCCGGGAUGAUACUGACAGUACCGGGAGAAUAAGCUCCGGCUAACUCCGUG